GAGGGUAUAGCUCAGGUGCUAGAGUGCAUGCUUAGCAUGCACAAGGCCCUGGGUUCAAUCCCCAGUACCUCCA
This 73-nucleotide transfer RNA is filed under the name Camelus bactrianus (Bactrian camel). It matches the Rfam family "tRNA". From Rfam's summary of the family: Transfer RNA (tRNA) molecules are approximately 80 nucleotides in length. Their secondary structure includes four short double-helical elements and three loops (D, anti-codon, and T loops). The record is from Rfam by way of RNAcentral. Lineage: Eukaryota; Metazoa; Chordata; Mammalia; Artiodactyla; Camelidae. RNAcentral also lists the same sequence under 2 other names.